Molecule: ribosomal RNA, 735 nt
Filed under: uncultured Fusobacterium sp.
Lineage: Bacteria; Fusobacteriati; Fusobacteriota; Fusobacteriia; Fusobacteriales; Fusobacteriaceae
Description: bacterial SSU rRNA
Rfam family: Bacterial small subunit ribosomal RNA
Source: RNAcentral
GAUGAACGCUGACAGAAUGCUUAACACAUGCAAGUCAACUUGAAUUUGGGUUUUUAACUUAGGUUUGGGUGGCGGACGGGUGAGUAACGCGUAAAGAACUUGCCUCACAGCUAGGGACAACAUUUGGAAACGAAUGCUAAUACCUAAUAUUAUGAUAAUAGGGCAUCCUAUAAUUAUGAAAGCUAUAAGCGCUGUGAGAGAGCUUUGCGUCCCAUUAGCUAGUUGGAGAGGUAACGGCUCAUCAAGGCGAUGAUGGGUAGCCGGCCUGAGAGGGUGAUCGGCCACAAGGGGACUGAGACACGGCCCUUACUCCUACGGGAGGCAGCAGUGGGGAAUAUUGGACAAUGGACCAAGAGUCUGAUCCAGCAAUUCUGUGUGCACGAUGAAGUUUUUCGGAAUGUAAAGUGCUUUCAGUUGGGAAGAAAGAAAUGACGGUACCAACAGAAGAAGUGACGGCUAAAUACGUGCCAGCAGCCGCGGUAAUACGUAUGUCACGAGCGUUAUCCGGAUUUAUUGGGCGUAAAGCGCGUCUAGGUGGUUAUGUAAGUCUGAUGUGAAAAUGCAGGGCUCAACUCUGUAUUGCGUUGGAAACUGUAUAACUAGAGUACUGGAGAGGUAAGCGGAACUACAAGUGUAGAGGUGAAAUUCGUAGAUAUUUGUAGGAAUGCCGAUGGGGAAGCCAGCUUACUGGACAGAUACUGACGCUGAAGCGCGAAAGCGUGGGUAGCAAACAGG